GGGAGCGUGGCACAGCGGCUACUGCGGUCGCCUGCAGAGCGACUUUUCCUGGGUUCAAGUCCCAGCGCUCCCU
RNAcentral lists this transfer RNA (73 nucleotides) under Nanobdellota archaeon. RNAcentral's name for it is "tRNA-Cys". It matches the Rfam family "tRNA". From Rfam's summary of the family: Transfer RNA (tRNA) molecules are approximately 80 nucleotides in length. Their secondary structure includes four short double-helical elements and three loops (D, anti-codon, and T loops). Further hydrogen bonds mediate the characteristic L-shaped molecular structure. tRNAs have two regions of fundamental functional importance: the anti-codon, which is responsible for specific mRNA codon recognition, and the 3' end, to which the tRNAs corresponding amino acid is attached (by aminoacyl-tRNA synthetases). tRNAs cope with the degeneracy of the genetic code in two manners: having more than one tRNA (with a specific anti-codon) for a particular amino acid; and 'wobble' base-pairing, i.e. permitting non-standard base-pairing at the 3rd anti-codon position. The record is from RNAcentral. Lineage: Archaea; Nanobdellati; Nanobdellota. RNAcentral also lists the same sequence under 1 other name.